UUUCCAGACUCCUACGGGAGGCAGCAGUGGGGAAUAUUGCACAAUGGGGGAAACCCUGAUGCAGCGACGCCGCGUGAGUGAAGAAGUCUUUCGGUAUGUAAAGCUCUAUCAGCAGGGAAGAAGUUGACGGUACCUGAUUAAGAAGCCCCGGCUAACUACGUGCCAGCAGCCGCGGUAAUACGUAGGGGGCAAGCGUUAUCCGGAUUUACUGGGUGUAAAGGGAGCGUAGACGGCAGCACAAGUCUGGAGUGAAAUGCCGGGGCUUAACCCCGGAACUGCUUUGGAAACUGUGCAGCUAGAGUGCAGGAGAGGUAAGUGGAAUUCCUAGUGUAGCGGUGAAAUGCGUAGAUAUUAGGAAGAACACCAGUGGCGAAGGCGGCUUUCUGGACUGAAACUGACGCUGAGGCACGAAAGCGUGGGGAGCGAACAGGAUUAGAUACCCCAGUA
RNAcentral lists this ribosomal RNA (447 nucleotides) under uncultured bacterium. Its description in RNAcentral is "bacterial SSU rRNA". It matches the Rfam family "Bacterial small subunit ribosomal RNA", at positions 328 to 792 of the family's 1533-position model. The record is from RNAcentral.